AGAGCGAACGCUGGCGGCAGGCCUAAUACAUGCAAGUCGAACGGACCCUUCGGGGUUAGUGGCGGACGGGUGAGUAACACGUGGGAACGUGCCCUUUGGUUCGGAACAACUCAGGGAAACUUGAGCUAAUACCGGAUGUGCCCUUCGGGGGAAAGAUUUAUCGCCAUUGGAGCGGCCCGCGUCUGAUUAGCUAGUUGGUGAGGUAAAGGCUCACCAAGGCUACGAUCAGUAGCUGGUCUGAGAGGAUGAUCAGCCACACUGGGACUGAGACACGGCCCAGACUCCUACGGGAGGCAGCAGUAGGGAAUCUUGCGCAAUGGGCGAAAGCCUGACGCAGCCAUGCCGCGUGAAUGAUGAAGGUCUUAGGAUUGUAAAAUUCUUUCAGCGGGGACGAUAAUGACGGUACCCGCAGAAGAAGCCCGGCUAACUUCGUGCCAGCAGCCGC
This 445-nucleotide ribosomal RNA is filed under the name uncultured bacterium. Its description in RNAcentral is "SSU rRNA". It matches the Rfam family "Bacterial small subunit ribosomal RNA", at positions 26 to 518 of the family's 1533-position model. The record is from RNAcentral.